GACGAACCGUGCGAACGUUAUUCGGAAUCACUGGGCUUAAAGGGUGCGUAGGCUGCGAGGAGGGUGGGGUGUGAAAUCCCUCGGCCUAACCGAGGAAUUGCGCUCCAAACCGCCUUGCUGGAGUGAGACAGAGGUGAGCGGAACUAAUGGUGGAGCGGUGAAAUGCGUUGAUAUCAGGAGGAACACCGGUGGCGAAGGCGGGUCUCUGGGCCGAUACUGACGCUGAGGAGCGAAAGCGUGGGGAGCAAACAGG
This 253-nucleotide ribosomal RNA is filed under the name uncultured bacterium. RNAcentral's name for it is "partial 16S ribosomal RNA". It matches the Rfam family "Bacterial small subunit ribosomal RNA", at positions 524 to 776 of the family's 1533-position model. The record is from RNAcentral.